GGCCCCGUCGCCUAGCCAGGACAGGGCGUCGGAUUUCUAAUCCGGAGGUCCCGGGUUCGAAUCCCGGCGGGGCCG
RNAcentral lists this transfer RNA (75 nucleotides) under bacterium. RNAcentral describes it as "tRNA-Arg". It matches the Rfam family "tRNA". Rfam says of the family: Transfer RNA (tRNA) molecules are approximately 80 nucleotides in length. Their secondary structure includes four short double-helical elements and three loops (D, anti-codon, and T loops). Further hydrogen bonds mediate the characteristic L-shaped molecular structure. tRNAs have two regions of fundamental functional importance: the anti-codon, which is responsible for specific mRNA codon recognition, and the 3' end, to which the tRNAs corresponding amino acid is attached (by aminoacyl-tRNA synthetases). tRNAs cope with the degeneracy of the genetic code in two manners: having more than one tRNA (with a specific anti-codon) for a particular amino acid; and 'wobble' base-pairing, i.e. permitting non-standard base-pairing at the 3rd anti-codon position. The record is from RNAcentral.